Molecule: ribosomal RNA, 377 nt
Filed under: uncultured eukaryote
Lineage: Eukaryota
Description: partial 18S ribosomal RNA
Rfam family: Eukaryotic small subunit ribosomal RNA
Source: RNAcentral
UAAUAGCGUAUAUUAAUGUUGUUGCAGUUAAAAAGCUCGUAGUUGGAUUUUGGUGUUUGACAAACGGUCGGCCUUACGGUUGGUACUGUUUGUUGGCACUUAUUUUCUGGGGAACUCACUGAUCUUAAUUGAUGGGUGUUGUAACGCAGAUCGUUUACUUUGAAAAAAUUAGAGUGUUCAAAGCAGGCCAUCGCAUUGAAUACAUUAGCAUGGAAUAAUGGAAUAGGACUUUGGUCUUAUUUUGUUGGUUUCUAAGGCCGAGGUAAUGAUUAAUAGGGAUAGUUGGGGGCGUUUAUAUUCCGUUGUCAGAGGUGAAAUUCUUGGAUUUACGGAAGAUAAACUACUGCGAAAGCAUUCGCCAAGGAUGUUUUCAUUAA